RNAcentral lists this ribosomal RNA (467 nucleotides) under uncultured bacterium. RNAcentral describes it as "partial 16S ribosomal RNA". It matches the Rfam family "Bacterial small subunit ribosomal RNA", at positions 28 to 507 of the family's 1533-position model. The record is from RNAcentral.
GACGAACGCUGGCGGCGUGCUUAACACAUGCAAGUCGAACGGAAAGGCCCUGCCUUUGUGGGGUGCUCGAGUGGCGAACGGGUGAGUAACACGUGAGUAACCUGCCCUUGACUUUGGGAUAACUUCAGGAAACUGGGGCUAAUACCGGAUAGGAGCUCCUGCUGCAUGGUGGGGGUGGGAAAGUUUCGGCGGGUGGGGAUGGAGUGGCGGCUUAUCAGCUUGUUGGUGGGGUAGUGGCUUACCAAGGCUUUGAGGGGUGGCCGGCUGGGGGGGGUGACCGGCCAAUUUGGACUGGGGAUACGGCCCAGACUCCUACGGGAGGCAGCGGUGGGGAAAAUGCACAAUGGGCGGAAGCCUAAUGCAGCAACGCCGCGUGCGGGAUGACGGCCUUCGGGUUGUAAACCGCUUUCGCCUGUGACGAAGCGUGAGUGACGGUAAUUGGUAAAGAAGCACCGGCUAACUACGUG